GCCUGUGGGGGAGGGAGUGAGGUCUCAUCCCCCUUCCCAGGCAGUGUGGGCCUUGAGCCUCAGGAGGGCCCAACAGAGCUGGACAGCCCAUCAGUCACUGAAGGUCGAAUGGCGCAGCAUCAGGAGUUAGGGGCAGGGCCCACUUUUUCCGUUCUGCCUCCAUCUGCCAGGAGGGGCAGGGGCCCUAUGCAAAGAUUCAUCCCAAAGGCACGUCUCUGUCCAUACCAGGAGUAACUGCUGCUUCCCUGAUCAAAGCACUGGGCAAUUACAUUGCUUCCCUUCUAUUCUGUCACGGAAUCAGCCCAGAAACCCUGGAAACCCACAGCGAUGAACUCUCUGAUUGCCUGAAGCCAUUCUCGGGAUGGGAGCUAGCAGGUGCUGACUUCUUGCCCUGGGAAGGGAAGAACAUGGCUCUCUGCUUGGAUCUUCUCCUCCGAUGAGUCCUCAAGUUUCAUUCAUUUGACAAAUAUGAACUGGCACCCGCUAUGGACCGGACACUGAGAACACAAUAGUGAGGAAAUGGGAGUUAUCCUUGGGCUUGAAAAUGACAGCUCCAAGGAAAUGAGGUUGGGCCCGGGUACCAUCAAAGUCAGCAGCUCAGACCCUGUGUACAGGCAAAAAGAGGGAGCCAAGGAGAACUGGGUCUUGGGGGUUGCCUGAAACCCAAACAUGGGGCCCCCUUUUUAAAAAAAUAAACUUAAAAAAAAUUUUUUU
Molecule: long non-coding RNA, 714 nt
Organism: Herpailurus yagouaroundi (jaguarundi)
Lineage: Eukaryota; Metazoa; Chordata; Mammalia; Carnivora; Felidae
Exons: 3
Source: RefSeq, a predicted model, not a curated record